RNAcentral lists this ribosomal RNA (459 nucleotides) under uncultured bacterium. RNAcentral describes it as "partial 16S ribosomal RNA". It matches the Rfam family "Bacterial small subunit ribosomal RNA", at positions 338 to 795 of the family's 1533-position model. The record is from RNAcentral.
CCUACGGGGUGCUGCAGUGAGGAAUAUUGGUCAAUGGGCGGAAGCCUGAACCAGCCAAGUAGCGUGCGGGAUGAAGGCCCUACGGGUCGUAAACCGCUUUUGCACGGGGAUAACACCCUCCCCUUGUGGAGGUCUGCAGGUACCGUGCGAAUAAGGGCCGGCUAAUUCCGUGCACGAAGCCGCGGUAAUACGGAAGGCACGAGGGUUAUCCGGAUUCAUUGGGGUUAUAGGGAGCGUAGGCGGGCGUUCAAGUCAGCUGUAAAAUCGCGCGGCUCAACCGCGCCCCGCAGUUGAAACUGGACGCCUUGAGUUCACAACAGGCAGGCGGAAUUCGGGGUGUAGCGGUGAAAUGCAUAGAUAUCACGAGGAACCCCGAUUGCGAAGGCAGCCUGCCGGGGUGCGACUGACGCUGAGGCUCGAAGGUGCGGGUAUCAAACAGGAUUAGAUACCCUUGUAGUC